This 224-nucleotide unclassified non-coding RNA is filed under the name Hevea brasiliensis (rubber tree). Lineage: Eukaryota; Viridiplantae; Streptophyta; Magnoliopsida; Malpighiales; Euphorbiaceae. The record is from RNAcentral.
GCAGGAAGGAGACGAGCGCGUCUUCCUAUUUGCCAUCCAGAAGACCACCGAUCCGCGUGGUCUUGGAUGGGCCGUCGCCCAAGGCAACCUCCUUGACCGGGACCUCGUCGCAUGUGGCCAUCCGCUGCCUCGGGGCGGUGGGGGCAGAGGGGCCAAGCCUCUCGUCACCACCCUCGGGCUUGGACGCAGCAGCGAGGCGGUCGGCGCGCUGCUCCAUGCAAGCG